AGUAAUGUUUAUGUGCAAGUUUUGCAGAGGUUGCAUGCUGCAGUCUGGAAGAAACUGCAUGACAAAUAGCAUGACAGUGGUUUCUGCAUCACAACAAUACACCAAACUACAUGUUGCUUAUUGUUCAGCAAUUCCUUACCGAGAAAAAAAUUCCUAUUGUCAACCAACCACUACUCUCCAGAUCUCAUUCCCAAUAAUUUUUGGCUGUUCCCUACUCUGAAAAUGAUUCUCAAAAGGACAUGUUUUGCAAUCAUAGAGGACAUGCACUCUUUUGUGCCAUGUGGUUAUCAAUGAUUACCUAUAUGGUGCAAAAGGGGCAGAACUAUGAGAAAAGUACAUAUAAAUGUUAAUGCUUGUGCUUGGUUUAAAACAGCCUUACAGAUACUCCUUGAGUUACGAACUUUUCAUACUUACAAAUAUGCCAUUUCAUUCUCAAAUUUCAGGAAAAAUCAAAAAUACUUCAAGAAUUUUAAACAUUUUGAUAGCAGAAUGCUCUAGCAACAAAUAUAAUGUAAAACUACACAGUU
This 527-nucleotide long non-coding RNA is filed under the name Androctonus crassicauda. Lineage: Eukaryota; Metazoa; Arthropoda; Arachnida; Scorpiones; Buthidae. The record is from RNAcentral.